UCAGGAUCCUGUGAUGUCACAGAAUGGGCCAUUGCCAUAGUGAAGGCUGUGGACUAGGCCUGAGGGAGCACAGGGUCUACUGGGGUUGGCAGGGAUACAGAGCAGGAGCAAUUGGGUAGGGAGGCUGGGACUGUGUGGUGGUCGGUUAGGAUCCCUCAUUACUGGGAUGAUGGUCUGAUUUAACCCUAGUGUGAUGUACAGUGAGUAAGGAGUCUCAGAGGCUGUGAGUCAUCUCAUGUCCCUGAAGUGUCCUAUAUCAAACAGGACAGUGUCCAUGGUAAGAAGAUAUGAUGGCAGCAGAGAUCAGAAGGAUGAGUGCAGAGGAACCAGGCAUGCAAUGACACAGGGAUUUGGCACUCACAACACAACAGAGAAAGAGGCCACAGGAUGAGCUCACUUAACCUGUAAAACCCAAAAGACUCUAGGCUCUGCUUGGUGAAGGAUAAAGCUCUGCUGCUGUGUCCCAAUGCAGGGACAAGUAUCAUCUCUGGCAGUCCGUAGUGUCCAAGGCAGGUGGGAUGCUUCAGAGAUCCUGUUUUGUGGAGCUCCUAACUGUGCUACUUCACAGAAGCAGGGUGUUUUUUGUGGCCAUGAGUUCCCCACAGCAUAACUGAAGGCAAGGACUAACAUCAAAUCCCACUGAAAUACUCUCUUUUUAUUUAUCCAUAUUUGAAUUAUACAUAAGGCCUGGAUGUUUAUACAUGUGAAGGCAUGUAGCAUGUAUGUUCUGGGACUGAACAUACUGGUGUGAGUGAAAGCAAAAGCCAUAUAUAAACAUCAGAUGUCUUUGUCUACCCCACUCUACCUUGUUUGGAAACAGGAUUGCUGUGGGAUGUUCUGUAUGGCAAAUGUGUUGCUCUGAUAGGUCAAUAAAUAAAACACUGAUUGGCCAGUGGCUAGGCAGGAAGUAUAGGCGGGACUAACAGAGAGGAGAAAAGAAAGAACAGGAAGGCAGAAGGAGACACUGCCAGCCGCCGCCACGACAAGAAGCAUGUGAAGACACCAGUAAGCUAUGAGCCACGUGACAAGGCAGGAAAACUCUAGCUACACAGGAUGACUCUGGGCUCAGAGCACUGCUACUGAGAACUCAGCAGUGUCCACUGGGUCUGGGCUCACUGUGAAUUAGCAUGGACAUGCAAUAAUUCACUCAGUCCUUCAGAAGCAGAGCUAAGACGACAACAGGGAGCAAAUGAUCUGAUGCAUCAUGACUCAUAGAUUUGGAUGGCUUUGAAGAAAGCUCAGAGGUGUUAAUCAUGUUUCAGCUGCACCAUCCAUUCAUGAGAAACAAAAUGAGAAACUGCUGGUAGAGAUAAUGCAGCUCCAGCACAGCCCCAGCCCAGAUGCUCACGGAGGAGUAUAAAGUGGAAAUAGACAGACAUCAAUGAGAUUCCACAUCUCAAGAAGUGCCAGAGCUCCUAUAUCCAGAGAACGAGGGAGAAUGUGAGGCGUGGUGGCAGGGGAGCCACGAAUAACACACAUCUCAGAGAUGUGUCUGAGCACCUGAGCAGAAGGGGGAGGCUGAGCUCCAGAGUGGAUGACUGCCUUUGUGUCCUCUCUUCCCAUGAAGCCAUCUUGCUGGAGAUCAGACGUGGAACAGUGUUUUUAAAAAGAUGUUAAGUCACUGCUGUC
Molecule: non-coding RNA, 1629 nt
Organism: Peromyscus maniculatus bairdii (prairie deer mouse)
Lineage: Eukaryota; Metazoa; Chordata; Mammalia; Rodentia; Cricetidae
Source: RefSeq, a predicted model, not a curated record